GUUUGGUAUUUAGUUUCUAUUUUUUGUUUUAGUAUAUGUUUUCCUUGAUUUUUCGCAUCUUUGACAUGGUAUUGUCAGUUUCUCUUUGACCUAAUGACCUGUAAGCAUCUUUUCAACUCUUUUUUCCCUCUUGAUUACUGCUUUAAAAGGGAACAUCAACUUGAUUUUUACUUAAUUCAUAUCCUUUUUUUUCGUUCGUACUACUGAACUUAAAUGACGGUUUUUGAUGAACUGUUGUUUGUGUGUUUGUCUUCGGUUGUCUGUCUUAUCUUUUUUAGUUAACACCUGAUAGUUUUUUUCCUUUUACCCUAUCUACAUUAAGGCUGGUUGUGGUUUUUGUCCCAAAAGUAACGUUUCAUCAUUUUGGAUAAUUUAAUUAUUUCUAAACACAUGAAGAUUGAUUCUUAUUGUUGUCACUUCAAUUGAAUUUGAGAGGACUUUUAUACAAGUGAGACCUUUAGCUAGCAAUCAAACCAGGCAAAUCUACGUUGUUCUACCUAAAAAUUACUGUACAACGAAAGAAUUAUCACAGGUGUUUU
This 539-nucleotide long non-coding RNA is filed under the name Mytilus galloprovincialis (Mediterranean mussel). The record is from RNAcentral. Lineage: Eukaryota; Metazoa; Mollusca; Bivalvia; Mytilida; Mytilidae.